RNAcentral lists this transfer RNA (84 nucleotides) under Erysipelotrichaceae bacterium. RNAcentral's name for it is "tRNA-Tyr". It matches the Rfam family "tRNA". From Rfam's summary of the family: Transfer RNA (tRNA) molecules are approximately 80 nucleotides in length. Their secondary structure includes four short double-helical elements and three loops (D, anti-codon, and T loops). Lineage: Bacteria; Bacillati; Bacillota; Erysipelotrichia; Erysipelotrichales; Erysipelotrichaceae. The record is from RNAcentral.
GGGAGCGUAGCGAAGUGGCUAAACGCGGCAGACUGUAAAUCUGUUCCUCACGGUUCGGUAGUUCGAAUCUACCCGCUCCCACCA